RNAcentral lists this ribosomal RNA (320 nucleotides) under uncultured eukaryote. RNAcentral describes it as "partial 18S ribosomal RNA". It matches the Rfam family "Eukaryotic small subunit ribosomal RNA", at positions 1470 to 1796 of the family's 1831-position model. The record is from RNAcentral.
CCCUUAGAUGUCCUGGGCCGCACACGCGCUACACUGAAGGAGGCAGCGUGUACUCCUGGAUCGAAAGAUUUGGGUAACCCGCGAAUCUCCUUCGUGCUAGGGAUUGAGGUUUGCAAUUAUCCUUCAUGAACGAGGAAUUCCCAGUAAGUGCAAGUCAUAAGCUUGCGCUGACUACGUCCCUGCCCUUUGUACACACCGCCCGUCGCUCCUACCGAUUGAAUGGUCCGGUGAAAUCUUCGGAUUGCUGGAUAGGACUUCAUUGACCUAUCUGCGAGAAGUUGCUUGAACCUUAUCAUUUAGAGGAAGGAGAAGUCGUAACA